UGAACGUUCACAUCAUGACUCAGUCCAGGUGCUCACUUAUUAAUCCAGUUCAGACUCAGGAAACACAGCCAAAUAUCAACCAACUCAGUUUUCUCACCUUUGGCAGUACUUGACAAGUUUGGCUGACUCUGUCUUACAAAGCCUCAAACAGAUGCAUUCAGCUUGCUGCUGGUCUCCCAAGUUCCCAAGUGCCAGAACAAGGUAGCCAAGAGUGAUCAGCUGUGGAGAAACCUGUGUCUGAGAAAAUGGAGCUUCUGCAUCUUCUCCAGUCAGUGCCUGGGCGCACAGACACACAGCAGUGUUCCUCAGACAAAGCAGGAGUGCUGGAUGACGCUGGCACAUCAGACACUCUGUCUACAAAGCAGCAGCUGGGAACCUCAGUGUACGGCAGAGAGUACGCUAGAGGAGCAACACCAUGAAUUUCAUUGGCCUUUCUUGACGUGACAUCAGUUGUGUGUAUUUUCAUGCUACUUCUCUCCAUGCAUGAGGAACCCAGGCAUUUCAAGUUGAGAAAACAUUUCACAGCAGAAGCUAAAUAUUCUGAACUUGCAAGCAACAAGAUGAGAAACAUGAUCUCUCUGUUUCAGAUUCACAGAUACUUUACAGGGGCCAUCUCAGAGUAAUACUCUUCUUGAGGUAUAUACAACAUAGAAAAACCUGCAUAUGAUUUUAUCACACAACAUGGAUUUUAAAAAAUGUCAAGGGAAGCUAAUGACUCUGGAAACAGCAUGGGACCUGGUGGGGCAAGUACGGAAUCAAAACCAAACCCUCCACAGCCUCCGAGUCUGGAAAAACAUCUUGACUUUUUACUUCAGGUACACCUGAGUCUUCUGGGGCAACAAAUGGGAAAUCACAGCUCUACCAACAAGCACCAACUUGAUAUUUUAGAGUCUUGCUUUUUUUCUUCCUACAACUCAGACAGGUUUUUUUAAGUCUUAGCAGAAUGGCUAGACUAGGUAAUCCACAUAAGCAGCUGCUGCAAUGUGAUCUUUUUCUAACAUUUUAAUGUAGAGCUGUGAACUUUCCUGGCUUUGGGCUAUGUUGGGAACAUUUGGAGUAAACUUACUUGAUUUAAAGGCUAUUGCUAUUAGAACUCUGUCUGAUCUGCCUCAGAUGGAGGGUCUGCACCAAUCACUCAUGAUAUCAAACUACACUGGAAAUGGAAAGCAGCUGAUAUAUGAAUUGUCUUCAACUACUGAUUCUAUGCACUUAAAAAAAACCCUUAAGAUUAUUUCCUUAUUUUUAAUUUCCUUAAGUGUAAUAGAAUUUUAUUUUCCAGAUCUCAAAUAUUUACUCAUCUCCUGCUCAUCGGCCUCUAGGACUGAGUGAUCACCCAUGUGUUGUAGAAGGAAAAUUCUCAAGCUUUGACAUUCAACUACCUGGGUUCCAAACUCAACUGUACCACUUAGCAGCUCUGUGCCCAGUCACGUCAACUCUUUGCAGCCCCAUGGACUAUAGUCCACCAGGCUCCUCUGCCCAUGGAAUUUUCCAGCCCAUCUGUGUCUCCUUGGUUCAAUCCAAGAAAGAUAAGAAAUGGGAGAAAUCAAGACAGAAGAGGAAGAGAAAUGCCAGAUGCGGGAAAAGAGGAGAAAGGCUACUGUGAGAAGACAGUCCAAAGUUGGGAAAAAGGGAAGACUGAGUUUUAAUCGAGUUCAAAGUUUUGAUUAUUUCAUAAAACUGGACACUGUGAAUAACUCCAUUGAGAAUGCAUUUUUUUUACUUUAAAGGACCAAAAUGUCAUGGAACUGUAUGUUUUCAUCUGCGGAAGGAAAAGAAUUUUCACUACUUAAAUGCUUUUAAAGGGACAGUGGGAAACGAAAGACUGCAGUUGGUUUUGCCCGAUCCCAGCUUGGACUUGCUUUUGGGAACCUUGCAUGAAGUGACUUUAAAAGGGUCACCUGGUAAACAGGUGAAUGGCUAUCUGUGGCAUAAGUGAUGCGAUAGGUCCUGAGGAGGCAUACUUUCCCUGCAAACAACUCCUUUGUUCCAGUGCUAAAAGUCCACCAUUAGAGAGCCAGUCACUUUUAGGCCUACCAUACUAUCCUCAUCAGUCCUGUUUCUAAAAUACACAAUCUAGUGAAAG
Molecule: long non-coding RNA, 2083 nt
Organism: Bos taurus (domestic cattle)
Lineage: Eukaryota; Metazoa; Chordata; Mammalia; Artiodactyla; Bovidae
Source: Ensembl